UACCACCCACCUUGUUUGGCCUAGAGCUGCCCUUCCAACAGUGUUACCAUGUCAAAAUGGACCUUCCAAAACUUUCUUAGUAUGAGGAGUGAUUUGAGGAAGAGGAAAUAGUGAUGCUUCUUCACUAUGAUUCUCUCUUGUUCUCUGGAUUUUGUUGAACAGAAAGGAUACAUCUAAAAUCAACAGUCACAAACAUCCUGAAGGCAGAAAAGGAAAGUGAGAGAAGAAAUUGACUUUUGUACCUUCACAGCAGACUUGAACUCUGACAGAGCACAUGGAAAAGUGAAUUCUUAACUGACAAGUCUUCGCUGAGAAUGACCCUGUUAGCCAGAGAAAAUUAAAUCAGGCAGUGUUAGUUGGAGUGCUCCGGCUGACCUCAGCCUUUUACAGAUAGUUGAGAAGCUCAAAAACGUUUUGCACAACUGAGCUGAACAGAGCCUGUGAAUGCAUAGAAAGAUGAGGUCUUUCUUGCAGGAUAUUUUUGUCUGCAUUGAGUYAGGCCUGACUAGUGGCUAGCUGUUGCUGCAGUGGGCUAAAUAAGGACUGUUAUGCAGAAAACUUUCAACAACAACAUCAAAAUGCCAACUAGCAGCAAGAAUGGAUUAUACUGAUGAAUUCUUUGUGUGUGUGCGUGCGUAUGUGUGUGUAUUUUUUUCUUGGUGCGUUUUUGUGAUUCCUCCUGUGACCUAGGUCACUAGACGCCUGGAUGAUAUUGCCCUCUGAGAACUGGGGCCGAUAAAGCUUUCAAGGAAGUGGGCUGAGUCCUAUUCUCUACAGGUUUCAGUUCAGCAAAGCCCUAGAAGUAACAGGUGUCACCUGAAGGAAAUCUGCUUUAAAGAGGAGAGUGUGGAUGUAUGAAGUAGGAAUAGGUUUUGAGGUUGUGAGAUUCGCCCUAACAACGUGAGGAUGGGCUUCUAAGGAAACCAAAACCAAGGGCUGUCUCAGAAACAGCAGGAUCACAAACUGUAAAUAUGAAACAACUAUUGAAGAUUGUCUAUAUAGGCAAAAUGGAAAUUCUGAUGGAUUAGAGUCCAAGUGAUUGUGUGGCUAGAUGAAGUGMAGACGUCCAAGUUUGCGAAGAGAGUGACCUGGUGUGGAAAUGAAGUCRAUUUUGAGUGCAGAUGUAGAGAUGACAGACAACAAAAAAUUAUCAACAGUCACAAAAAUAAAUGUAUAGAAGAAUGAGUGAAGAUACUUUCAGAUGAAGGAAUGCAUUUUGAAGAACCUCCUAAUUUUAAAGAAUGGAAGCACUGAAGAUGAAUUUUCUCUACAAAUUUUUGAGUUGGCUUAUUUUCUCUCACUGGAAAAUUCCUACGGAUUUCUUACAGUCUUUGAUGGCAUUAUAUAAUGCUAUAGAUGUGUGGCUAUGAAGAGCAAAACUUAAAUAGAAAGUUGGUUUUAGGAUUAAACAUUAUUAGUGUAUUUUACUCAAGUGCUGGCUGUAAGGAGAUAUUGACCAGCCCUAUGGUAUAUAACUGCUAUCAGGAGCAUUGGAAAGCUUGGAAGCAAGAUUGUGCAUCUAUCUUACCUCAGGGAAGCGUCAGUUUUGUUGCUUUUUGGCAAGGAAUCAGCAGAUGCCUGCAACAGUAGUUCUGAAGUGAAGUUGUGGGCAACACAGGAGCUAUCUGACAAACGCAGAAGAUGACGCAAAUGUAAUAAAUGAAUUAAGUCAUCUGGAAGCUUUCUAUCAGUCUGUGGCUGAAAAGUGAAAGACGAGCCUGAAUGCGCCCUGAGACUGAGGUGUAACCCCUGGUUCUCUAAGAUGGUAAAGCACUUGAGAAGAACAACCGAACAACCCUUUCUGCUACUCAGUCUGGGAAUAAAAUAAGAUCUUCCCUAAAAGUACUUUAAAAGUCUCUGCGACUUGGUCUGUGGAUGCUGCUGAGCAACAUGAGCUUCUGAUGGUCUAUCCUUUCCCACCACGAGUGAGAAAUGUACCAGAAGCAGGGAAGUGUCUGGCAUCAUCUCUGUUUUCUGUAAAUGCUUUUGAAGUCAUCCUACCCUAUACUGGAGUUGGAGCGUCUCUUGAUGGACCUGUCCCAUGAAUAUGCCUAACUCGCGUUUUGAAUCCUCUGCAGCAACAGAGUGAGCAGGAUUUGAGAAGCAGCAGUUCUGUCUUCACCAUGGGAAACCAUCCAGAAAAAAACGGUCUUUGAGCUUGCGGAAUUGCUAUCAGCUGGUACGAAAUAGCCCAGAUUAUACACGUGGGAAAAGAAAAGAAAGAUGAUCACGAGUAUACAGCAAUCAUAUCGGAGAUUUUCUAAAGGUUUCAAACCCAGGAAAAGGGAAAUCCUCUAAAUAUGUGGAGUUUUUGGAUACCUUUUGCUAGGUGUUAAGGAAGAUGUUGCACAGCAUCGAACUCCCAGACCUUCAGUGUAAAGAGGCUCUCUGCUCUUAAGAGGCACUUUUAAUAUGUUCAACUAUAAAUGAUGUCAAUUAAAAGCUGCUCUGCUCUGUGGAAAAACUCCAAAUGUCAGGAUCCAUGACUCCUGACUCAAUGACUCCUGCGACAAUGCUAGAAAGAAGUCAGCUGAAUUGACUGCUGAUGAAAGCUCCAGUGCUCCAGCUUCUGUGAUUGGUGUUACCAAAUACAUUGUAAAUGACUGCUGAAAGAAUUUGAACUUCAGGGUAGCAAAUGGCUGCUUUCAGGUACUUCCCUUCUAAGCCCAGAUGAGGGUCUGUGGAGGGAGCUGUGAUAGCUUGGGUCAGAAAGAAAAAGUCCCUGCUUUGAAGUGCAUAUAAUGCUAGGACAGGAACCUCUAUAGGUGACUUUGACCUCAGACUUCUGGAAGGUGUCCAAAGACCUGAGCAUCACUCUCAUGCAUUUGAGAUGGUCCGGCAACCAUGCUACUUUAUAACCUGUGAAGUAGUGAGCAGUCUUCUCAGAAUGAGUCUGGGUACCCACC
This is a long non-coding RNA of Nothoprocta perdicaria, 2906 nucleotides long. RefSeq lists it as uncharacterized. The record is from RefSeq and is a predicted model, not a curated record. The transcript is spliced from 14 exons. Lineage: Eukaryota; Metazoa; Chordata; Aves; Tinamiformes; Tinamidae.